RNAcentral lists this transfer RNA (88 nucleotides) under Prevotella sp. Its description in RNAcentral is "tRNA-Ser". It matches the Rfam family "tRNA". Rfam says of the family: Transfer RNA (tRNA) molecules are approximately 80 nucleotides in length. Their secondary structure includes four short double-helical elements and three loops (D, anti-codon, and T loops). Further hydrogen bonds mediate the characteristic L-shaped molecular structure. tRNAs have two regions of fundamental functional importance: the anti-codon, which is responsible for specific mRNA codon recognition, and the 3' end, to which the tRNAs corresponding amino acid is attached (by aminoacyl-tRNA synthetases). tRNAs cope with the degeneracy of the genetic code in two manners: having more than one tRNA (with a specific anti-codon) for a particular amino acid; and 'wobble' base-pairing, i.e. permitting non-standard base-pairing at the 3rd anti-codon position. Lineage: Bacteria; Pseudomonadati; Bacteroidota; Bacteroidia; Bacteroidales; Prevotellaceae. RNAcentral also lists the same sequence under 6 other names. The record is from RNAcentral.
GGAGAGGUGCUCGAGUGGCUGAAGAGGCACGCCUGGAAAGCGUGUAUACGUCAAAAGCGUAUCGGGGGUUCGAAUCCCCCUCUCUCCG